UUUUCCCUUGCUGCUGUCUUCGGCAGCCCUGUACUGAGUUACUUGAAAACCUGGGUCUUAUUUAAAAAGCUCAGAUGGGACCUGUUUUGAAAAUCAAUCUAAUACUUACAGACUUUUCUUUGAUUUCUCAGGAGUAAAGCCAAGUCAGCUUGCUGCAGGGAAGGAAGAAAACUCAGGAUGAGCUUGUGUCUCUGGACUUUUUUUUUUUUUUUUAACCUGUCCUAAGUUGACGUCUCUAGAUGCUGCACGCACCCAAAAAGCCAGACUGAGACAACACUCUGCCAGAGGCCAAGAGAAAGGUUGGAGUGAAGCUGGGGAAUACUCUCUGCAGUGGGACAGCUUGGGUGCAGGAAGAGGAGGUGGCACAAAUGAGCUGUGUUCACCUGCUCGCCCUCGCAUCGUUCCUGGUACUGGCUCCUGCAGAGAGACCCUCUGGGGGUGUCCCUGGGUGUGCAAUCCACCGUGGGACUGGCGUGGCAGGUCCAGACUGACAGCAGCAGCAGCAGGGGAGGGAGUGAAGGAAAUCCCAACACCCAUGGUAGAGAAAGCAGCCGGUGAGCAGCGCAGAGAGCCGUGCCCUGUAGCCCAUCCUUCAUCCUAAGGAAAGCUGAAACAUUUCCAGCCCACAGCGAGGUGCCUGGGGUGCCCCAGCUGGGACGCACGUGCCUUCCUCCCCCGGCACCCCGGCCGGCACACGCCGCCUGCCCCGACCUGCACCCCUCCCGACUUACACAAGAGCAAACGGAAAACACGGAUCACAUUUCUCCUAAAACCUGCCACGAAACAAACCCGAUGCCACUUUUGGGGAGCUGGAGAAAGGGAGGGUUUAAAAUGAAACGUUUCUGUACGAUGAGAGGGUUUAAGUGAAAUGUUUCUGUACGAUGGAAAGAUCAUUAAGCCGAGCUUUGCAGCGAUGUCUGUCCGCACCUAUUGCCAGGUUCUCACAUCAGAAAGCUUCACCCAGCUCUAAAUCUGGGACUAGAGCAUCCGCUGAUGCUUGCAAAGAGGCUACAAGAGAGCACAGAGAGGUAGGGGCUGUCUGUACCCACAAGCUGGCUGUUAACUCUGAAGACUAAUGACGUCAGGGCAAACAACAGCAAGAACGAUCUUGUUUCUAAAGAAGCCUACAAGAAAGAUGAUACAUUCCCUUUCUUUUUGUAAACUAAAGUGCCUUUCUGUGUUCAUCCCUGAAGUGACUGCCACUACCCACCUGCAAGGAGCAAUGGGGAUACUUAAAUCAGCCCCACCAGCCCCGUGGUGAGGUUAUGGGGAUGAAUGAGGCUGGGGUCGUGUCUGUCCCGUUAGGAGACGGCUGACAAGUGGAAGAGAUGAAGCAGAGGGAUGUCCCCGGCUCUUUGGAGCAGCCCCACCAAGGCCCCGAGGUGCACAAGCAGCAGCUGUGGGGGCUGCCAUGGCCCCUCUCACCAAGGGGUUCGGUCGCCCCCAGCCGGGGCCACCCCGGGGUGGCCAGAACAACCCCUCUGGUCUUGUCUCCCUCAGACAGCAGCACUUCAAGCAUGCAGAGUCCCAGAUUUGCCUUAAAUCAGAAAUUGUUUCUUGUGGGAUUUAAAUUCCUUGACAUUGC
Athene cunicularia (burrowing owl) is the source of this 1585-nucleotide long non-coding RNA. RefSeq lists it as uncharacterized. The record is from RefSeq and is a predicted model, not a curated record. The transcript has 4 exons. NCBI's taxonomy places the organism in Eukaryota, Metazoa, Chordata, Aves, Strigiformes, Strigidae.